This 543-nucleotide long non-coding RNA is filed under the name Phoenix dactylifera (date palm). Its description in RNAcentral is "long non-coding RNA (PDAC_LNC020915)". Lineage: Eukaryota; Viridiplantae; Streptophyta; Magnoliopsida; Arecales; Arecaceae. The record is from RNAcentral.
AGCGGUCUCUGGUGCAGCAAUUUUCUUUUUGAAUUUCCAUUUUUUUUCUUUUUUCCUUUUGUUUUAAUGCCUGCGCGUGGUGCUCCUGCCAUACUCGAUAAGUUGGCUUCUAUAUUCUAUGGAUGAUAUGUUACAAAACUCUCACUUUUAUCGAGGUUUGGAUGGAUAGGAAUACUUGGAAGGGAGCUACUCUAGUUAUGUAACCAUUACCUACGGUCCCUUCUACUUGAAAAGAUGGUACUAUAGUGUUCCCACUAUUCCAAGCAAAGAAUAUAAUAAGGAAGCCUUAGAGCUCAAACUGGCUGCAAGUGUGAUGAGUAUGACUCUAGGAGGAACUAUUGAUCCUAGUUAGAAGGCUAGAAGGAUAAUUGAACUUAAGAUAUGAAGUUUAAGGAAUUAAUGGAAGAUGUGCACUUUUAGACAUUUGACAAGAGGAACGGAUGGAAUCAAGUGUAGCUUUAUCUUGCAACAUAAUUGUUGGGGGAAAUACAGUUUUCCCCCAGCAGUAUAGUAACCCCGCCCCUAAGAAGCCGCAUAACCGCC